This 117-nucleotide ribosomal RNA is filed under the name Gaiellaceae bacterium. The record is from RNAcentral. RNAcentral also lists the same sequence under 1 other name. Lineage: Bacteria; Bacillati; Actinomycetota; Thermoleophilia; Gaiellales; Gaiellaceae.
UUCGGCGGUCAUAGCGUCGGGGGUACACCUCUUCCCAUUCCGAACAGAGCAGUUAAGCCCGACAGCGCCGAUGGUACUCGGGGCGCAAGCCCCCGGGAGAGUAGGACGCCGCCGAAU